GGCUCAGAAUGAACGUUGGCGGCGUGGAUUAGGCAUGCAAGUCGAGCGCGAUAUUUUUGAAAGAUACUUCGGUUGAUUUCUUAAAUGGAAAGCGGCGAAAGGGAGAGUAACGAGUAGAUACGUACCCAGGGGUCCGGGAUAGCCAUGCGAAAGCGUGAGUAAUACCGGAUAAUGUCUCCGGACCAAAUAUUUAUAGCCCUUGGAGCGGUCUGCUUACUAUUAGCUUGUUGGUGGGGUAAAGGCCUACCAAGGCGAAGAUGGUUAGCGGGUGUGAGAGCAUGGCCCGUCUCACUGGGACUGAGACACUGCCCAGACAUCUACGGAUGGCUGCAGUCGAGAAUCUUCCGCAAUGGACGAAAGUCUGACGGAGCGACGCCGCGUGAUGGACGAAGGCCCUCGGGUUGUAAACAUCUGUCGUAGGGGAGGAAAUUUUGACCGAUCCUAGGAGGAAGCACAGGCUAAGUUCGUGCCAGCAGCCGCGGUAAUACGAACUGUGCAAACGUUAUUCGGAAUCACUGGGCUUAAAGGGUGCGUAGGCGGGUUAGUAGGUCAGAUGUGAAAUCCCACGGCUCGACCGUGGAGCUGCGUUUGAAACCCCUAGUCUUGAGGGGAUCAGAGGAGAGCGGAACUGAUGGUGGAGCGGUGAAAUGCGUUGAUAUUAUCAGGAACACCGGUGGCGAAGGCGGCUCUCUGGGAUCUUUCUGACGCUGAGGCACGAAAGCUAGGGGAGCGAACGGGAUUAGAUACCCCGGUAGUCCUAGCUGUAAACGAUCUGUACUAGUCCGUGGGGACCCCCACAUCUUCUCGGACGUAGCGAAAGUGUUAAGUACAGCGCCUGGGGAGUAUGGUCGCAAGGCAA
Molecule: ribosomal RNA, 859 nt
Filed under: uncultured Planctomycetota bacterium
Lineage: Bacteria; Pseudomonadati; Planctomycetota
Description: bacterial SSU rRNA
Rfam family: Bacterial small subunit ribosomal RNA
Source: RNAcentral